AUGCACGCAGAACUCCAAGGGCGAGUCACCCCGGUCGUCGCGCCACAGCAUGCCGGCGACGAGCGCAGGCGGCAGUGUGUUCGGGCGCUCAACGAGGACGGUGUUAGGAGGCACGGGAGGGAGCGUGCGCAGGCACGUUGGGCUCCUAGGAACCCCAGGGGUACAACGGUGAGUUCGGGUGAGCGUGACGGCGGCUGUGGCCACGGCGGCGAGCUGCAGAAGGCAUCGCCGGAGUUGGUGAAGAACGGCAGUGACCGGAGAUGUAGAAGAAGGGGACCGUCGCAGCAGCGCCUCCGAGCUCUAGCUGUGGCCACCGCGGCGGGUCCAUGGCGGCGCUCGGAUGCGAUGGGAGAGGAGAAGAGCGGGGUGGAUCUGAGGGGACAGGGAGAGGCGCAGGGACCGAGGGCGAGAGUGGGGGCGAGUAGGAGGCGGGAUCGAGGAGGCGGGGGCGUGGCGACCUUAUCCCCUCCUCAACGCCGGCGAGGGGGUCCGCUUCCCGUCGCUGGUGGCAGCGCCCUCCCUCACUCGCCCUCUCCUCCUUCCCUCCUCACGGUCGCCUCCACCAUGCCACAAACCCCGGCGACGGCCUCGUCCACACCUCAUCCUCCUCCCCCUCCCCCGGUUCCGUCCCCAGCCCCGCCCGGAUCCACCGUGCUUGUCCAGAAUCGCCGCCCCCACCCCGCCGUCGAUCUCGCCCAUGGCUGCCGCCACCACCCCGCCGUCAUCCUCGCCCACGACGGCCGCCCCCACCCCACCGUCGUCCUCGCCCAUGGCGGCCGCACCACCCCGCCAUCGACCUCGCCCCCGGCCAACGGCCUCCUCCAUAUCCUUCUGACCCCAAGGCUGAGGUUGUUCCCGUCUAUCUCCCCUGUGUGGGCAUGUACAUCAUCGGCAAGCGUGAGGAGGGGUUGUCGUAGUUGCUUCUUCGCCUUCCCCCAUCUCACGUCCCCAUUGCCUUGCCACGUCUCUCACCUUGCCCCUCUCCAUGAACUAUUUCUGGAGGCCCUCGGCGCCGCAUUAGAUGUCGGAUGGUCUCGACCGGAUCCUGCUGCCCAACAAGAUGUGCAUUACCUGGGUGAUGAAGAAAAUCGAUGGGUCACGCCAUCUCCUGAAGAGUUGGAGGAAAAGAGGAAGGAGAAGGACAAGAUCUCCUACGACAUGAGAAAGCAACUAGCGAAGCUCCGCGUCAAGGCUGAGAAGGCAGCCGAAAGAAUCCCUUGUUAUGACCUAUCGUGGGAAAUUUUUAAGCGUGUUUUCCCUUUGUACAUGUCGUUUUGGGCCAUCAUAGUUGUCUCUACACCAAGUUGGGUUCUGAGGCUGCAGCCUGGGCACAGGUACUGCCUCCUCGGCCAGCUCUCCAAGGAGGUUGGAUGGAACUACGCUCAAACCAUCAGAUCUGUAGAAGCUGCCGCUGCCGUUGCCGCUGUUGCAGGUGGAACAAGAAGAAGCCCUCAUGGCUGCUGCACAUCUGAAGUGGCGAGCGCCACCCCAUUUUUUUGGUACUAUGAAGUGUUAGUUGGGCUGCGACUUGAUGGUCAUGCUGCUGUUUUGCUCUGCUUGAUAAUUCCAAUCAGAUCAUUGUCCACACUAUCAUCAUCAGGUCUUGAUUCCCUUUAUUCUCUCCUGCCUUGUGAUUUUAUGUACAGAAGAUCUAAUGUUGUUGAGGAUGCUGGUGCUACGACAGAAGAUCAAGGAAGCCUCGAGAUGUGCACCAUAGUUUUAGUUGAUGUUGCUAGUUUGCCACCAUGUUUUGAAUAUUUGAUGUUGUUGAUGUUGCUACUUUGCCACCGUGUAUAUGCUGUUGGACAUGCAAACAUGUAUGUGAUGUUGUGA
This 1833-nucleotide ribosomal RNA is filed under the name Triticum aestivum (bread wheat). RNAcentral describes it as "partial small subunit ribosomal RNA". Lineage: Eukaryota; Viridiplantae; Streptophyta; Magnoliopsida; Poales; Poaceae. The record is from RNAcentral.